Molecule: ribosomal RNA, 467 nt
Filed under: uncultured bacterium
Lineage: Bacteria
Description: partial 16S ribosomal RNA
Rfam family: Bacterial small subunit ribosomal RNA
Source: RNAcentral
GACGAACGCUGGCGGCGUGCUUAACACAUGCAAGUCGAACGGAAAGGCCUAGCUUGCUGGGUACUCGAGUGGCGAACGGGUGAGUAACACGUGGGUGAUCUGCCCCUGACUUUGGGAUAAGCCUGGGAAACUGGGUCUAAUACCGGAUAUUCAUUUUUCCUCGCAUGGGGAUUUGUGGAAAGCUUUUGCGGUUGGGGAUGGGCCCGCGGCCUAUCAGCUUGUUGGUGGGGUAAUGGCCUACCAAGGCGACGACGGGUAGCCGACCUGAGAGGGUGAUCGGCCACACUGGGACUGAGACACGGCCCAGACUCCUACGGGAGGCAGCAGUGGGGAAUAUUGCACAAUGGGCGCAAGCCUGACGCAGCGACGCCGCGUGAGGGAUGACGGCCUUCGGGUUGUAAACCUCUUUCAGCUCCGACGAAGCGCAAGUGACGGUAGGAGCAGAAGAAGCACCGGCCAACUACGUG